GGGAAACGUGUUCCUACGACGAAUCUCCGAUAAAAGCACCAGGAGAGUCCCGUAGAAACCCAUAAAAACGGAAAAGUCGAGUCAAGGACUACAACAAAGAAAAAAAAAAAAAAAAAAUCUCCAUUUCUCUGUUAAAUCUCCGCCCAAAAAGGAAACGAUCCAAAGAUGAACGAGGAGCAAGAGACGGAGUGGGUCGAGGCGCAGAAGAUCGUCGUCGGCGAAGAUCUCGUCGCGGCGGCGCAGCAGCAGUUGGCGUUCUUGGCCGCCGUCGAUCGCCGCCGGUGGCUCUACGACGGCCACAUGCUGGAGCGGGCCAUCCACAGGUAUAAGGCUUGUUGGCUUCCACUGCUUGCUAAACAUACUGAAUCUGGGUUUCCGGAAGGCCCUUUGGUCGUUCCUCUCGAUUGCGAAUGGAUAUGGCAUUGCCAUCGGCUUAAUCCGGUUCAAUACAAAAAGGAUUGCGAAGAAGUCUUUGGCAGGAUCCUAGACAAUAAGAAUGUUUUAUCUUCAUUGCAAGCGAAAUCGAAAGAAGAGGCUGCGGAAAUGUGGGCUAAAUUAUAUCCAGAGGAACCCUUUGAGCUCGAGUAUGCCAGUCUUUCAUCCGACAAGAGUUUCGAUAUGUAUUCUGGAGCUGCAGGGAGUAUCAAAUAUGAUUUGGUGUCUGCCGUUAAAAGGCAGUCUUCUUUCUACUACCAGGUUUCAAAACCAACCAUGCGUGACCCUCGCUUUCUUAAAGCAGCAGUAGCCAGAUAUAAAGGGUUCUUAUAUUUAAUCAAGAGAAACCAGGACAGUUCAAUGAAACGCUUCUGUGUGCCGACUUAUGAUGUUGAUGUCAUGUGGCACUCGCACCAAUUGCACCCUCUUUCUUACUGCAAUGAUAUGAAACAACUUCUUGGGAGGAUUUUGGAGCAUGACGAUACGGACUCCGAUAGAUCCAAGGGACAGAAACUUGAUGUUAGUUUCUCUGAAACAACUAAGCAGUAUGAGGACACUUUUGGUUUGAGAUACUGGCGAGCAGGGGCGAUGUACAGAGGCAGCUUGCCUUCUCCCUUAACGGAGAUUCCGUACUUUCCAAUUAAUAAUAUAAAAAAUGAAACAAAUACUAAGAAAUCCCAGAUGGAGCUUCCCCUUCCUCGUUCACUGUUUGUAGAGGUCCUUUUAGAGAUUGUAGGAGUGAAAAAUUUGCCAGACGGUCAGAAGGGAAACUUGUUUGUAUCUUUUAGCAAGAAACAACCAGAUUUGUUUUUCAGUGGUGGCGGCACUUUAGGUAUAUUAUCUGAAACAGGAAACAGACAUGUUGCAGGGUUCGAAUGUGAACCUACUGGCGAGCUGGUUUUGGCUCUGAUGUCCAACAAUGGAACCUCCCACAAAGCCACCUCAAGGCCAGCAAAAACUAUUGGAACAACAUCAAUUUCACUUCAAGAAUUAUUAAACGCGGAUUCGAAUCUCUCCAUGGAGAAGUGGUUUGAAUUGAAUACAAACACUCGAAAUUUAGAUUCUGCUCCAAUUUGUCUUCGUGUUGCUGUCUCUUCUACUGUUCCAGUCCCGGCACCUCUUGUGCUCAACAUGUCUAGAUCAAAUCCCCUCUCUCUAAGAACAUGUUUCUUUCCACUUGGUGGAGGGGGACACCAGGUCAGUUCUUGGACUCGUUUUGAGGAUGAUAAUGGUAAGGAGGUCAUCAGUCUUCAUAUUAGAAAUGCAAGGAAAGAUGUGCAUAGGAACAACUCUGUUUUAAAGGAGAUACUUGGCAUAACCAGAUUAUCAAGAAAACCACGCAUCCUAGCCGAGCAUGCAGAAAAUGAAUGGAUCCUGAAGGACACUAACUUCUCCAUCAAUACCAAUAUUAAGCCAAGUCAUGAUGGAUCUUUGUUAGGACUCAAAGGCGACCACCAGAUCAAAUUGUAUUGGGGAAAAAAGCUGGAAUAUGAACGCAAAUGCUGCAAGGAGCACAGAGAGGGUGCCUGCAUGACCGUCGUUGAGUUCUCCACCGAGAACCCAUAUGGAAAAGCUUUGGCAUUAUUUGACCUGAAAUCCAGAUAUAUCAAGGUUGAUGAGGAGUGGUUUGUUUUACCUGGAAUUGUGUUGGCAUAUAUAAUCACAACCUUGUUCCAGAAAGAACAAGAAAGAUUUUUCACUCCCACUGAUGAGGAUGUCAAAGAGGUUAUCAGUCCAAAUGAUGAAGCUGGCGAAAACAUUUCAAAAGUGACCAUCACAGAUUCCUCUGUGCCAGUCGAAAUUGUUACAGUUGGCGUAGCCAGUACAGCAAUCACCAAAAAAAGUAGCCAUGGCCAUGAAAAUGUUUCAAGUAAUGCUAACUCUGGCGGCUGCGGGGGCGGCUGUGGCAGUGGAUGUGGCGGUGGUUUGAUGAAGACUGAAGAAUCCGGUGGGUGCGGUGGCGGGUGUGGUGGUGGGUGUGGCGGCGGGUGCGGUUCAAUGAAGACUGAUGGAUCUGGCGGUUGCGGCGGUGGUUGUGGCGGGGGGUGCGGUUCAAUGAAGACUGACAGAUCUGGUGGUUGCGGCGGUGGUUGCGGUGGGGGGUGUGGAAGCAAUAUGAAGAGCUCUCACUCUGGUGGCUGUGGUGGCGGGUGCGGCGGUGGCUGUGGCGGCUGUGGCGUGAUGGUUACUCCCAGUGGUGCAAAUGUAGUUACUCAUCAAGAUUUAGUCAGUGCUUGAAUGAAUUGCUAGCUGUGAGCUGCUUUGUGGUGUUGUAUAGUAAUAAAGGAGCUUUUGCUCUUCUUGGGCUUUAGCUCUUUGUAGUAUAUAUUCCCAAUCGGUGCAUGAUAAGACACUUUCUACAAAGCGUGUAAUAACGUGUAAGAAGAUGUUUCAAUGUUUUACCUGCAUUAUCAUCUCAGCUUUGAAGAA
Ananas comosus (pineapple) is the source of this 2865-nucleotide RNA transcript. It is a transcript of the gene named glycine-rich domain-containing protein 1, with no coding region annotated. The record is from RefSeq and is a predicted model, not a curated record. Lineage: Eukaryota; Viridiplantae; Streptophyta; Magnoliopsida; Poales; Bromeliaceae. The transcript has 10 exons.